UUAAGCGACUAAGCGUACACGGUGGAUGCCCUGGCAGUCAGAGGCGAUGAAGGACGUGCUAAUCUGCGAUAAGCGUCGGUAAGGUGAUAUGAACCGUUAUAACCGGCGAUUUCCGAAUGGGGAAACCCAGUGUGUUUCGACACACUAUCAUUAACUGAAUCCAUAGGUUAAUGAGGCGAACCGGGGGAACUGAAACAUCUAAGUACCCCGAGGAAAAGAAAUCAACCGAGAUUCCCCCAGUAGCGGCGAGCGAACGGGGAGGAGCCCAGAGCCUGAAUCAGUGUGUGUGUUAGUGGAAGCGUCUGGAAAGGCGCGCGAUACAGGGUGACAGCCCCGUACACAAAAAUGCACAUGCUGUGAGCUCGAUGAGUAGGGCGGGACACGUGGUAUCCUGUCUGAAUAUGGGGGGACCAUCCUCCAAGGCUAAAUACUCCUGACUGACCGAUAGUGAACCAGUACCGUGAGGGAAAGGCGAAAAGAACCCCGGCGAGGGGAGUGAAAAAGAACCUGAAACCGUGUACGUACAAGCAGUGGGAGCACGCUUAGGCGUGUGACUGCGUACCUUUUGUAUAAUGGGUCAGCGACUUAUAUUCUGUAGCAAGGUUAACCGAAUAGGGGAGCCGAAGGGAAACCGAGUCUUAACUGGGCGUUAAGUUGCAGGGUAUAGACCCGAAACCCGGUGAUCUAGCCAUGGGCAGGUUGAAGGUUGGGUAACACUAACUGGAGGACCGAACCGACUAAUGUUGAAAAAUUAGCGGAUGACUUGUGGCUGGGGGUGAAAGGCCAAUCAAACCGGGAGAUAGCUGGUUCUCCCCGAAAGCUAUUUAGGUAGCGCCUCGUGAAUUCAUCUCCGGGGGUAGAGCACUGUUUCGGCAAGGGGGUCAUCCCGACUUACCAACCCGAUGCAAACUGCGAAUACCGGAGAAUGUUAUCACGGGAGACACACGGCGGGUGCUAACGUCCGUCGUGAAGAGGGAAACAACCCAGACCGCCAGCUAAGGUCCCAAAGUCAUGGUUAAGUGGGAAACGAUGUGGGAAGGCCCAGACAGCCAGGAUGUUGGCUUAGAAGCAGCCAUCAUUUAAAGAAAGCGUAAUAGCUCACUGGUCGAGUCGGCCUGCGCGGAAGAUGUAACGGGGCUAAACCAUGCACCGAAGCUGCGGCAGCGACGCUGAUGCGUUGUUGGGUAGGGGAGCGUUCUGUAAGCCUGCGAAGGUGUGCUGUGAGGCAUGCUGGAGGUAUCAGAAGUGCGAAUGCUGACAUAAGUAACGAUAAAGCGGGUGAAAAGCCCGCUCGCCGGAAGACCAAGGGUUCCUGUCCAACGUUAAUCGGGGCAGGGUGAGUCGACCCCUAAGGCGAGGCCGAAAGGCGUAGUCGAUGGGAAACAGGUUAAUAUUCCUGUACUUGGUGUUACUGCGAAGGGGGACGGAGAAGGCUAUGUUGGCCGGGCGACGGUUGUCCCGGUUUAAGCGUGUAGGCUGGUUUUCCAGGCAAAUCCGGAAAAUCAAGGCUGAGGCGUGAUGACGAGGCACUACGGUGCUGAAGCAACAAAUGCCCUGCUUCCAGGAAAAGCCUCUAAGCAUCAGGUAACAUCAAAUCGUACCCCAAACCGACACAGGUGGUCAGGUAGAGAAUACCAAGGCGCUUGAGAGAACUCGGGUGAAGGAACUAGGCAAAAUGGUGCCGUAACUUCGGGAGAAGGCACGCUGAUAUGUAGGUGAAGUCCCUCGCGGAUGGAGCUGAAAUCAGUCGAAGAUACCAGCUGGCUGCAACUGUUUAUUAAAAACACAGCACUGUGCAAACACGAAAGUGGACGUAUACGGUGUGACGCCUGCCCGGUGCCGGAAGGUUAAUUGAUGGGGUCAGCGCAAGCGAAGCUCUUGAUCGAAGCCCCGGUAAACGGCGGCCGUAACUAUAACGGUCCUAAGGUAGCGAAAUUCCUUGUCGGGUAAGUUCCGACCUGCACGAAUGGCGUAAUGAUGGCCAGGCUGUCUCCACCCGAGACUCAGUGAAAUUGAACUCGCUGUGAAGAUGCAGUGUACCCGCGGCAAGACGGAAAGACCCCGUGAACCUUUACUAUAGCUUGACACUGAACAUUGAGCCUUGAUGUGUAGGAUAGGUGGGAGGCUUUGAAGUGUGGACGCCAGUCUGCAUGGAGCCGACCUUGAAAUACCACCCUUUAAUGUUUGAUGUUCUAACGUUGACCCGUAAUCCGGGUUGCGGACAGUGUCUGGUGGGUAGUUUGACUGGGGCGGUCUCCUCCUAAAGAGUAACGGAGGAGCACGAAGGUUGGCUAAUCCUGGUCGGACAUCAGGAGGUUAGUGCAAUGGCAUAAGCCAGCUUGACUGCGAGCGUGACGGCGCGAGCAGGUGCGAAAGCAGGUCAUAGUGAUCCGGUGGUUCUGAAUGGAAGGGCCAUCGCUCAACGGAUAAAAGGUACUCCGGGGAUAACAGGCUGAUACCGCCCAAGAGUUCAUAUCGACGGCGGUGUUUGGCACCUCGAUGUCGGCUCAUCACAUCCUGGGGCUGAAGUAGGUCCCAAGGGUAUGGCUGUUCGCCAUUUAAAGUGGUACGCGAGCUGGGUUUAGAACGUCGUGAGACAGUUCGGUCCCUAUCUGCCGUGGGCGCUGGAGAACUGAGGGGGGCUGCUCCUAGUACGAGAGGACCGGAGUGGACGCAUCACUGGUGUUCGGGUUGUCAUGCCAAUGGCACUGCCCGGUAGCUAAAUGCGGAAGAGAUAAGUGCUGAAAGCAUCUAAGCACGAAACUUGCCCCGAGAUGAGUUCUCCCUGACUCCUUGAGAGUCCUGAAGGAACGUUGAAGACGACGACGUUGAUAGGCCGGAUGUGUAAGCGCAGCGAUGCGUUGAGCUAACCGGUACUAAUGAACCGUGAGGCUUAACCUU
Molecule: ribosomal RNA, 2901 nt
Filed under: Escherichia coli
Lineage: Bacteria; Pseudomonadati; Pseudomonadota; Gammaproteobacteria; Enterobacterales; Enterobacteriaceae
Description: bacterial LSU rRNA
Rfam family: Bacterial large subunit ribosomal RNA
Source: RNAcentral